AAGGUAGCAUAAUCAUUUGUUUCUUAAUUAGAGACUAGAAUGAAUGGAUUCACAAAGAAAAACUAUUUUUAUUUUUGAUUUAAAAAUUAAUCUAUGAAUGAAAAAUUUCAUAUCCUAUAAAAAGACCAAAAGACCCUAUCGAGCUUAAAUACAUUAUUUUUCCUCUUUCAAAUAUAUAUUUUAAAUUGGGGCGAUUUAAGAUAUAUUCCAUCUUCUUAAAAUCUAAACUAUAAUUAUACCUUUUAUAUACUAAAUUAAGUUACCGUAGGGAUAACAGGCUACUCAAUUUUAAAAGUUCACAUUUACAAAUUGUCUUAGCACCUCGAUGUUGGCUUAAGAUUACUCUAAAAUGCAGCAGUUUUAGAAAGUAGGCUUGUUCCGCCUUUAAUUUCUUACGUGAUCUGA
Molecule: ribosomal RNA, 405 nt
Filed under: Ophryotrocha sp. 3 MG-2023b
Lineage: Eukaryota; Metazoa; Annelida; Polychaeta; Eunicida; Dorvilleidae
Description: partial large subunit ribosomal RNA
Rfam family: Bacterial large subunit ribosomal RNA
Source: RNAcentral